GGUGUUACAUGGGUGACCAUCUAUGUAGUUUACCCUUUAUUCUAAAAUCCUUGACAUAUUUAUACAUUUAGGCACUUUAAUAUCUUUUAAUUAAGCUCUCAUAUUAAGCACACUUCCUAAUCAAUCAUUAUACCAAUUAACAAUCGAUCAAGUUUAUUCCCAACUUAUUAUUCAAUCCUAACUUUUAGUAUACACGAUUUAAUAAUUUCAACUUUAAAACCCAAAUUUUUCUACACCACUAAAAAUCGAGUCAUUACAAAUAAUAUCUUCAAAAUAAACUAAUGGUGUCCCUAAUUGCCUAUAGAAAUUAAGUUUUUGAAUGAUUGUCCAUUUAAUUAAAUUUUAC
This 346-nucleotide long non-coding RNA is filed under the name Gossypium barbadense (sea-island cotton). RNAcentral's name for it is "long non-coding RNA (GBAR_LNC020149)". The record is from RNAcentral. Lineage: Eukaryota; Viridiplantae; Streptophyta; Magnoliopsida; Malvales; Malvaceae.